Molecule: transfer RNA, 66 nt
Filed under: Oryzias curvinotus
Lineage: Eukaryota; Metazoa; Chordata; Actinopteri; Beloniformes; Adrianichthyidae
Description: tRNA-Cys
Rfam family: tRNA
About the family: Transfer RNA (tRNA) molecules are approximately 80 nucleotides in length. Their secondary structure includes four short double-helical elements and three loops (D, anti-codon, and T loops).
Source: RNAcentral
AGCCCCGAGGUGUUAACACAUUAGAUUGCAAAUCUUAAGUGGCAGGCUAAUACCCUGCCGGGGCUU